CGAACGCUGGCGGCCGGCCUAACACAUGCACGUCGAACGACCUCUUCGGAGUUAGUGGCGGCCGGGUGAGUAACACGUGGGAACGUGCCUUUAGGUUCGGAAUAACUCAGGGAAACUUGUGCUAAUACCGAAUGUGCCCUUCGGGGGAAAGAUUUAUCGCCUUUAGAGCGGCCCGCGUCUGAUUAGCUAGUUGGUGAGGUAAAGGCUCACCAAGGCGACGAUCAGUAGCUGGUCUGAGAGGAUGAUCAGCCACAUUGGGACUGAGACACGGCCCAAACUCCUACGGGAGGCAGCAGUGGGGAAUCUUGCGCAAUGGGCGAAAGCCUGACGCAGCCAUGCCGCGUGAAUGAUGAAGGUCUUAGGAUUGUAAAAUUCUUUCACCGGGGACGAUAAUGACGGUACCCGGAGAAGAAGCCCCGGCUAACUUCGUG
This 431-nucleotide ribosomal RNA is filed under the name uncultured bacterium. RNAcentral describes it as "partial 16S ribosomal RNA". It matches the Rfam family "Bacterial small subunit ribosomal RNA", at positions 30 to 507 of the family's 1533-position model. The record is from RNAcentral.